AGGAUUAACGCUGGCGGCGUGCAUGAAACAUGCAAGUCGAGCGCGGUGUGAUGCGGGGUAACCCAAUUCACAUCUAGCGGCGAACGGGUGAGUAUCACGUGAGCAACCUGCCCCGAAGAUUGGGAUAACACCGGGAAACCGGUGCUAAUACCGAAUACCCCUCACACAUCGCAUGAUGAGUGAAGGAAAUGUUUUUUCGCUUCGGGAGGGGCUCGCGGUCCAUCAGCUUGUUGGCGGGGUAACGGCCCACCAAGGCUACGACGGAUAGC
This 269-nucleotide ribosomal RNA is filed under the name uncultured bacterium. RNAcentral describes it as "partial small subunit ribosomal RNA". It matches the Rfam family "Bacterial small subunit ribosomal RNA", at positions 26 to 287 of the family's 1533-position model. The record is from RNAcentral.